RNAcentral lists this ribosomal RNA (835 nucleotides) under bacterium. Its description in RNAcentral is "bacterial SSU rRNA". It matches the Rfam family "Bacterial small subunit ribosomal RNA", at positions 623 to 1452 of the family's 1533-position model. The record is from RNAcentral.
GCGGUGGGUACGGGCAGACUAGAGUGCAGUAGGGGAGACUGGAAUUCCUGGUGUAGCGGUGAAAUGCGCAGAUAUCAGGAGGAACACCGAUGGCGAAGGCAGGUCUCUGGGCUGUAACUGACGCUGAGGAGCGAAAGCAUGGGGAGCGAACAGGAUUAGAUACCCUGGUAGUCCAUGCCGUAAACGUUGGGCACUAGGUGUGGGGGACAUUCCACGUUUUCCGCGCCGUAGCUAACGCAUUAAGUGCCCCGCCUGGGGAGUACGGCCGCAAGGCUAAAACUCAAAGGAAUUGACGGGGGCCCGCACAAGCGGCGGAGCAUGCGGAUUAAUUCGAUGCAACGCGAAGAACCUUACCAAGGCUUGACAUGAACCGGAAUGAUGCAGAGAUGUGUCAGCCACUUGUGGCCGGUUUACAGGUGGUGCAUGGUUGUCGUCAGCUCGUGUCGUGAGAUGUUGGGUUAAGUCCCGCAACGAGCGCAACCCUCGUUCCAUGUUGCCAGCGGGUUAUGCCGGGGACUCAUGGGAGACUGCCGGGGUCAACUCGGAGGAAGGUGGGGACGACGUCAAAUCAUCAUGCCCCUUAUGUCUUGGGCUUCACGCAUGCUACAAUGGCCGGUACAAAGGGUUGCGAUACUGUGAGGUGGAGCUAAUCCCAAAAAGCCGGUCUCAGUUCGGAUUGAGGUCUGCAACUCGACCUCAUGAAGUUGGAGUCGCUAGUAAUCGCAGAUCAGCAACGCUGCGGUGAAUACGUUCCCGGGCCUUGUACACACCGCCCGUCAAGUCACGAAAGUUGGUAACACCCGAAGCCGGUGGCCUAACCCCUUGUGGGAGGGAG